This 423-nucleotide long non-coding RNA is filed under the name Chrysolophus pictus (golden pheasant). RNAcentral's name for it is "lncRNA (ENSCPIG00010007292.1)". The record is from RNAcentral. Lineage: Eukaryota; Metazoa; Chordata; Aves; Galliformes; Phasianidae.
CCGCCCCAGAUGAUGAUGAUGGCUCGAAACAAAACCACCCCGUCAGGGAGAAGGCAGCCUGGAAAAACUGGUCCCGGCAGGGGCGAGGGCUGCAUUCCUGGCCGCCGCGGCAGGGGACGGCUCGUGCCCGCGCGGGUAUAAAAGCGUGCCCCGCACGCUGAGCCCGGCACUGGGGCGGGUGGUGGAAAGAGCGGCUGCGAGCUGAGAAGAAUGGCUUUUUUUUUUUUUUUCUUUUUCUUCUUCUUCUUUUUUUUCUUUUAUAAAACUUUUGCUGUUGUUAUUAUUCCUUCCAAGCCCCAGCGCGAGGCCGGCGGGACGUUGGCCAGGAGUCCGCCGCGGCGAGAGGAAGAGCCGAGGCCGGCUGUUAGGAGAGAGGGGGAAGCGCGUCCCCCGCCCCGCGCCUCCUCAGCCUCCUUGACUUAA